UUGUGUACAAAAGAACCUUCCCCCUUAUAAAAAAUAAAAAAAAAGAGAGAAAAUAAAAGAUAAUCAAUGAGAAGGUGGGAAGGGAAAUGAGAAAGAGUUAUAGCUAAGUGUUGUAAAAAAUGAAUAAAAGUCCCUAGUUGGUUGAGUCAAAAGAAAAAAGAGAGUUGUUCAUUGGGUGAGUGAUGUGAGUGAGUGCUAUUUUGGUUUUAGGAUGGGGAUGAAAAGGGAAGAGCUUGUAAUCACUUAGGAAAAGGGUAGAACGAUGAGAAUGGAUCUAUGUAUGCAUAAAUUGCUUCUAGUCUUAGAUAAAUUUUGCAUAAUGAUCAAACUCCUUGUUCUUGAGUGAUAACCACUUUGAAAUGAUGCAUUUUAGACCAUUUGCUUACCUAGCCAAAUGAUUGAGAUCAUGUGCCCAUUUGUGAGAAUUCACCUUGUGUGUGUGUGUGAAUCAAUAUGAGGGUUGGUUGAAGGAACUUGUUGGUUGAUGAGUAUUGCAACUUGUGUAAAGGCAUAAGAGUAUUGAUAGGCCUAGAGAAGCUAGAGUAUAAUAAGAGAGUUUGCUCAUGCUAUUUGCUAUAUUUCUUUAGGAUGUUAAGUUGAGUGCUAGGAAGUGUUUCUUUUGGUUAUGAGUUCCCAUUUUCAAACCUCUCUCCCUUUGGCUCUUGAAAGUUUACUUGUGGACAAGUAAAUGACUAGUGUGGGGGAGUUGAUAUC
RNAcentral lists this long non-coding RNA (714 nucleotides) under Brassica napus (rape). RNAcentral describes it as "long non-coding RNA (BNAP_LNC013823)". The record is from RNAcentral. Lineage: Eukaryota; Viridiplantae; Streptophyta; Magnoliopsida; Brassicales; Brassicaceae.